Sphaerodactylus townsendi is the source of this 267-nucleotide long non-coding RNA. RefSeq lists it as uncharacterized. The record is from RefSeq and is a predicted model, not a curated record. Lineage: Eukaryota; Metazoa; Chordata; Lepidosauria; Squamata; Sphaerodactylidae. The transcript has 2 exons.
UCAGAAAGCCAGUUAAACAAUCCAGCAAAUUAAGUUCCAAGUGUCUAAUAUGAUUCGGGACUACGCACUAUAACUUCGCUUCACCGAAGAAAAAAAUCUAAACAUGGAAAAAUUAUUAAAUAUUGAGAAAAACAUUGCAAAAAUAUAAAAUGAAACAAAAAAAGGAAAGGAAACUUUGAACCUUAUGUACACAAAAAGUACCAGGACUGGCAAAACUGUUAGUCCUAGAUUACCUAUUGAUUUAAAAUACAAAAAAAAUAGCAAAAG